CUUUAGACGCUGACUCCUGCUGUCCACCAGAUCCUCGUGGUGCAAUGACUGGUGUAGACUGGCUUGUUGAAGUCACUCUCUGGAUCUGAGCAACGUUGGCUGAGCCGUGAUGAAGUACUCCUAUCCAUCCACUAUGCUUCACAGUGGGAAUCUCUCCCUGUUCAUCACCACUGCCCUAGCAGCCGCAGGUGCCUCAUUUCCAUCGUCAGUGGGUCUUAGUCAUCAAGACUGAUGUACCGCACUAGCGCCAGCAUUGAACCUGUCCACAUAGGAGUCUGCUUCCAGGAAAAAGGAGCUCAUGAAAUGAAAAUUGGGCUGUUAAAAACUAUUGGAACAUAGGAAUGGGAACACUCACUUCCUCAUGCCCAGUGACCUGGAGUUGACAUCAGGACAUCUCAGCAUAAUCAACAAACUUUUAUUCAUUCAUUCAUCAUGUAUUUACUGGGUUUCUACUAUGAGUUGG
RNAcentral lists this long non-coding RNA (463 nucleotides) under Pan troglodytes (chimpanzee). Its description in RNAcentral is "long non-coding RNA NONPTRT001313". Lineage: Eukaryota; Metazoa; Chordata; Mammalia; Primates; Hominidae. The record is from RNAcentral.